This is a long non-coding RNA of Thalassophryne amazonica, 280 nucleotides long. RefSeq lists it as uncharacterized. The transcript has 3 exons. The record is from RefSeq and is a predicted model, not a curated record. NCBI's taxonomy places the organism in Eukaryota, Metazoa, Chordata, Actinopteri, Batrachoidiformes, Batrachoididae.
AAUCAGUAUUCCAGAUCUCUUUUGGAAGAAUUGCAUGCCAUGUGCUCCAGGCCAAAGAUGAAAAGAACCAUCCAGAAUGUUAUUAGCAAUAAAUCCAAAAGCCAAGGUCUGUCAUUGUAUGAGGUUGUGUCAGUGCCCUUGGCAAAGGUAAUUUACACUCCUGUGAUGGCAGCAUUAAUGUAGAAAUGUACAUUGAGAUUUUAAAGCAACAUAUGCUGCUUUAAGAUGACAUCUUUUCUAGGGACGUCCAUGCUUUUUUCACCCCCAGAGGACAUGGCUG